UACGUAGGGGGCGAGCGUUGUCCGGAUUUAUUGGGCGUAAAGAGCGUGUAGGCGGCCAGGUAGGUCGGUUGUGAAAACUGGAGGCUUAACCUUCAGACGUCGACCGAAACCAUCUGGCUAGAGUCCGGAAGAGGGGAGUGGAAUUCCUGGUGUAGCGGUGAAAUGCGCAGAUAUCAGGAAGAACACCCGUGGCGAAGGCGGCUCUCUGGGACGGUACUGACGCUGAGACGCGAAAGCGUGGGGAGCGAACAGG
Molecule: ribosomal RNA, 253 nt
Filed under: uncultured bacterium
Lineage: Bacteria
Description: partial 16S ribosomal RNA
Rfam family: Bacterial small subunit ribosomal RNA
Source: RNAcentral